RNAcentral lists this long non-coding RNA (446 nucleotides) under Naja naja (Indian cobra). Its description in RNAcentral is "lncRNA (ENSNNAG00000012502.1)". Lineage: Eukaryota; Metazoa; Chordata; Lepidosauria; Squamata; Elapidae. The record is from RNAcentral.
AUGCGCGGUAAAGAAAAAAGGAUGCCUCGAGGACGGUGUGAUUCAUGUGCGCCGCAGCUGGUGUCUUCAGAGGUCCACCCACCCGAGCCGCCACUGCCCCCUUCUCCUGCUCCCAGAGGUCUGGAGCCUUCUCCCCCACCUCCUCUUCCUCCAUUGCCCGUAGAAAGGACCAGCGCAAUCUGCGACUCCCGCCCUCCUUUCUUCCACCCAAACCUCUCGGGCAGCUGCGAGAACUUGGACCACGAAACCGAGACGGAGUCCGUCGUGUUGCUGCGGAGAGAGUGGCCAUGGUGCCGGGAGAGCAGAGAGCACGGAGGUAAACCACCCCUCCCCGAAAGCUUCCGGGCCCUUUCCUUGGCGGGAGCGGCAGGUGGGGAGGCCCAAUCCUGGUGGGGGCAGAUUUUAUAUAACUUACACAUUGCUGACAACUCUAGACAGCUUACAAC